RNAcentral lists this long non-coding RNA (2584 nucleotides) under Mus musculus (house mouse). RNAcentral describes it as "long non-coding RNA chr9:34639581-34642165". The record is from RNAcentral. Lineage: Eukaryota; Metazoa; Chordata; Mammalia; Rodentia; Muridae.
UCAUUGCUACUUCAUAACUGUAAUGUUACUACUCUUAUGAAUCACAACAUAACUAUCUGUGGUUUGUUUUUUUGAUGGUCUUACGUGACCCCUGUGAAAGGGUCAUUCGCCCCCAAAAUGGGUCAUGAUCCACAGGUUGAGAACACUUCACUAGAGACUCUAGCAAUGACACUGGCACAGGUCAGAUUCCUUUUGGGAGUGAAGGUUAAAUCUUCUAUGUCACCCUUCUCUCUAUCCUGCCCUAUGCUAUUUAUUUCUCAAGGGAGAUCUGUGCCCUUGACUGAGUCUCCAUGGUGCUGGUCUAUACUUGUUGGCUUCAGUUAUAUAAUAUAAUUUGGGGCACUUGGAAUCACAUCUGAAUUCUUCUUCUGCUUCCAAUACUAAGUAACUAUAGAGUCAAGUAUAUAAUAGGUAUUUAUUAUGUUUUAGUUAGGUUGACUUUUUUCCUUUGAUGGGAUUCUGCCCCACCCCCUUCAAUUGAUCAGAGGCUUGGAGAUCCAAAGCUGCUUUUCUUUUCCUUUCUGGCUGGCAUUUAGUUUACAUCCAUGCAACAUCACUCUUACAUCCAAGUCAAAGAUUUUAAAGAUUUAAAAUUCCUUAUGUCCCUAUAAACUGCUUGCCUCUACCAGUGGUGAAAGAAGGGGAGAGACUCACAAAGCCCCAUCUCUAAAAGAGAUAGUUAAUGGCUGCUGGGCGAGAAAGAGUCAGUUUUCUCCGAGAGUGUGAAUCCCUGUAGGUUACCCAAGCUCCAGGGAAUGAUGGUGUCUGGCGAGUUUUAACUUACCAGGGAGACCCUCCACACCCCACCCCCACACCUCUUAGUGAACAACUGGGAGGCAGGAACCGAUGCAAAAGCAAGAGGAAUUUUAUUGUUCCAGCAUGCUGGGGUGGCCCUGCACGUGAAGGAGAGAGAGAAUGACCCCAUGUAGCACGUUUGGCAAGUUUUUGUACAGUUUUCAGAGCAGCAGCCAUUAGGCAAAAUGUGAUUUGCAGAACAGUGUGACUUUUAAACUGAUUGGUCUUUGGGGAAUGAUGGAUCAAGGACUUCCCUUGUCUGUAGGAAUGUGUCUACGUGCUCUGGGCCUUCCUUAUCUGGAGGAAGCCAUAGCCGGUCCCACCUCCGUGGGGUCUGAGUAAUGUAAUUAACCCCUCCCUUCUGGAGGGGAGGGGUGCCCAUGUUCUCUAUGACCUUUCUCUUCCAAGAGAGGAGGGGUCUGGUGCAAUUUUCCAAAGUUCCUGAGCUGACCUCUUCAAUGGCCCUACACAUACAUGCAUACAGUCAAUGCUAACUGACUAAUUGGAUUACUUUGUGGUAUUUUUGGGUUUGGGGGGCUUUUGGGUUUUGGGUUUUUGCUUUGUUUUUUUUUGUUUGUUUGUUUUGUUUUGUUUUUUAAGAAAUGAGGAUAUGAGUUGGCAGGGAGACAUAUUGGGGGGAGGCAUGAAAGGAGUUGGAGGGAGGAGCAGGACAUGGUUAUGAUCCAAAUACGUAGUACCCAUAUGUGAUACUCUCAAAGAAUAAAUAUUUUUUAAAAAUUGUGGUCAUGCCAAUGGUAGUAAUCAGAGAAAAUUAUUUUCAAACUCAAGAGGCAGACAUUUCUUUGUUGUUGUUGUUUUCCUCUAUGUUGUAACAUUAUAAAAGUUAAGUCCAUAGGAGAAAGCAGCUUACUAAAGAUUAACUCCACUGUCAUUGAAAUAGAAAAUUUCAAAAAAGAACUAUGGGGAGGAGGAAAGAUACACCUGUCCCCUGUGUGCUGUCAUGUGGGUGGAGCUGCUAUGUUCUCAGCCUGAUCAGUGGGAGGCUCCCUCACAAAACAGCAAUGAUUUGCCCUCUCAAAGCUUGUAAUUAUAGGCCAGCUGUGGACUGUGCUGAAGGUAUAGAAUGGGGCCCAUUCCAACAGCUGUGCAUAUGACCAAGCAGGCUGACAUGACAGGUACCAGACCAAUGAGGAGGACCUGAAAGGACACAGUUGCUGAGACUAUAGUUAUAAUUAUCUUCUUUACAACUUGGGGAGAGGGCAAUGCUGGAAGAUGGCAGAGUUUUGAACCAAUCACAUCUCAAGAAAUACUUAGUAAAGGUAUCCUUAAUACUCUGAUACUUAAUAACAGUGUUCUUAAUACUUCAGUACUUAGUAACAGUAUUCUUAAUGCUCUAAUACUUAGUAACAGUGUUCUUACCUCCUGGGUGAUCUCAUUUCUGAUUUUUCUCAGGGGCAAAUGGUUAAGAGGACCUAUAAGUGUAUCCUGGUUAUUCUUUCUCCCACUAAAAGGACAGAGCCUGGAAGAUAAGACUCUUGAGACUUCUGAAAAAGAAGAAGUGUCUACAUACCUCUUCUCAGCCCCAGCCAGGUUACUGGGUUAGCCAUUAUCUAAUUAGUAGUUUCACCCUGGUCUUUACCCAUUCUAGUAGCUGCACUUAUCUGAAAGGUAAACCUUCAAUAGGAAUCAAAAAGCAAGUCCUAGCCCUCUGGAAGCAGAUGCAAAAGAAUCAUUAUGAGUUAAAGUCUAGGCAGGGGUAUAUAGUGAAUUCCAGGCCACCCUGGGCUACAGGGUGAGACAUCUUUUCCAAAAAAAAAAAAAAAAAAAA